AUCUUAAACCAUCUGUGAUAAGCACUGGAUUUCCCUUUCAUCCAGCUAACCUCCAGCUAUUUGUGUAUGAAGGUACAAUUAGGAAAAAAUAGCAAUAAGGUAAUGAGGGAAGGAGGUGGUGUAGAGAGAAAAACAAAAAGAGGGAAGGAGAAUGGGUUGUGAUGAGUUAGAGUUGUCUGGAUGAAGAAGCCAGUCCUACCAUGCAUAAAGAUGAAAAAAAAGAAGGGGCUCAGAAUCUUCUGGAAAGAUGUGAGAGAAGAAAAAAGAAAGAAUAGAGGAUGGUGAGGUGGAAGGGAAACCAGAAGGGACUCUGGAAGGGUCCAAAUUAUAUGGAAGUGUGGAAGGACCUUUAUUGAAACGAUUCAUGAAGUUCAUGCUCGUGCUGUGAGCUUGCUUUUACUGCCCUGGCAAGAGAGGAGGUGCUCGAAGGACUUUGUCUUGGAAAUCCACUGUGGUUCCCCAGUGGGCUGGCUCUUCACACAGCGUUAAGCCCUGCGUUUCGCUCCCUAGCCUUGUUUCUCUCUGCUUGCUCCCUGUGGUCUCUCAUCUCUUCUCAGCUCUCUCCCACUUAGCCCACCAAGGCCUGUCUAUCCAAGUAGAACAGACUUUCAUUUUCCUUGGGUUCACACUGUGCAUACUGACUAACCCGCUUCCUGCCACUCCAGUGGCCCCUCUCCAGCUCCCAACCCCUCUUAUCUCUAUGGUAACGGAAGACACUACGAUCUCCGGAUUCUGCCUCAGAGAGUUGGUCUGUACAAGCAGACUUUCCUGGGGUAGCUUGUCCUUUUGCAGUUAACCAAGAUGCUGGGGGAGAAGAGCUGCCCCAACAGGAUGGCACACAACAGCCUCCAGAUGUGGGCACUUGGCGAGUCUGAGCUGAAUGUCUCCAUAAAAAUAUGAUGUAAUUAACAGACCUCAGCAGCUGGAACAAUUCAGCACCUCACAUUGAUUUUCCAUGUCUCCUAUUUACUUUCCGUUUUUGAACUGUCUGCCGUGACAGGAAAUCAAAGAAUUAUAAUGGCGUGUGUGAGGGCCAUGAUGCUGGGUCAGCAUUUCCCUGAGAAAUCCUGAGACUAAUCAGUUUAUUAUCACUCAAUCAUCCCUUCUCCUUCCUAAAUUAAAGCUGUCCCCCAAAAGGCUAAGAAAUAGCAAUUUAUUUUGGGAUAUUAAAAAAUCAAUGUACUAUUUUAAAAUAUGAGCGGAGUUAAAAAAAAAAAAAAAAAAGAGUAGGUCCCAAGUAAUGUUAGUUGGAUCUGUUUUCUCCUUCAGGCUUAAUAUGAGGUUGGCAAAGACAUGGGUGUGGAGAGACAGAAGUGCUAUAUUCACCCUUCCCAAGUUUCACGGGCUUGGAAAAGUUACCUGGUGGAACUUGGAGAGGAGUCUUGUUCCAAGUUUUUCCCUGAAAUGAAGAGAAAUAAGUCUCUCCGUUUGUGCUUAUUCACGAACUUUCAUAUGAUGCAGGAUUGGCUUUCUCAUAGUCUGUCACUGCAUUUCCAACCCUUGUCAGGUGGCAGUCAGAAUGUUGGGUUAGUUUCAUUUUGGAUUCCUUAACACUCUGGAGAAAAUUGGCCAAAAACUGAGAUUGUGACAGAGAAAUAGGUCUCCCUCUGAAGUCCGCUAGUCCAGAUUUCUUUUCAAGAUAUGCCUCAGGCUCCUUGCUGUUGCUUUUCUUCAACUUCACUUACCUUGGCAGAUUUCACGUCUUGGUCACAAUGUAGGGAUGCCUUUUUCUUGGUCUUUUUAUUGACUCAAGUAAUAUAACCCCUUCCUAAAUAAUUCGGAAAAUAGAGAAAAGAAAAAGAUUGCUCAUAAUUCUCCCACUUAAGCACAAUAGCUAUUGUUGUUUUGGAGCAAUUACUUUGGGUCAUUUUUAAGUGCCAAGUUUUGAUAGGAUUCUAAGCACAAACACAAACAACUUUGUAUUUUGCUUUUCCACUGAAUGUAUGUCAGAAACAUUUCAGUAUUAUUACUUCAGUAAAUAUCUUUUUAAUUGCUGACUGGGCCACUGAACAUUUGUCAGUCUCCCGUUUUGAUUUUCCAGGUAUCCUAUAGAAAUAGAGACACCAUAUUUAUUUAACUAUUUCCAUAUUUGGGGGCAAUAGAUCAAAUCCAUGUUUUCAUCAUAGUAAGUCCUGUGAUAAGCAUCUUUAUAGUAAGACUUUUCCGCAUAUAAGAUAAUUUCUUUAGGAUAAAUUCCCAGAAAUUACUGGGUCAAAGUGCAUGAAUAUCUUGUGACUCAAUAUUUCCUGUUGCUCUUCAAAACUAGUAUGUCAGUUUGUAAUAUCACCUAAAACGUUUGAGGCAUCAGGCUUGAGAAGGGUCUUUUUUUUCUACUAAAUAGGCAGUACUGAGAGUGCUUUAUGUGUGCAAUUUGAUGAUGUUGACAAAUAUCCCGGAGAUAAACAUUUUGGACUUUAGAGGCGUUCCCCUGUCAAUUGUGUUUAACAUACAGAAGUGACUUCAUUAUAACCGUUUCUUCUACGUGUGCCAUAAAGUAUGAAAUUUUUUGCCUGGCUGUAAUGUUCUAUCUCAUCAAACCUCAUAAAAUGAAUU
This 2553-nucleotide long non-coding RNA is filed under the name Lynx pardinus (Iberian lynx). Lineage: Eukaryota; Metazoa; Chordata; Mammalia; Carnivora; Felidae. The record is from RNAcentral.